GCAAGAAAGUUUCGGGAGCUUCAGAUCUAGCAAUGGGGACUAAGAGAGGGGGAGAGAGAGAGAGACCAAACCACUUCAAUUUGUCAUGAGGGAGCUUUGAAAGCUCCAGAUCUAAUGAUGGUGAUCGAGGGAGAGAGAGAGACUCACCUGGCUGGGGACCUUGUCAUCGUCGUCGUCAUUGACUCGACAGGGAUGGAUGGAUUCGGGGACUAGGGCUUUGAAGAGAACCAAGCGAGGGGAUUAGGGCUUCGAAUGUGGGAAAGCCUUUAUAUCCUGAACCGACCGGUUGAACUGUGCCGGUAACUAACUGGUCCGGUUUGGCACCUCUCAAAUCGGAUGGUUCGGCACCUCUCAAAUCGGCUGGUUCGGCAUGAUUCAGCUAACCUUGAUUGUAAGUUAGGGGCGAAAUUACCCUUGUCCCCAUUUUAAAAAGUUCCUUUCUUCCCUUUAUUCGUUAUUUCUUAGCUCUCCUUUCUGGUGCUAGGGUUCUUCACCGAGCUCUCCAUGGUCCCCCCCCCCCUCCUUGAACCAUUGGGAGUCCUACCAACUGGCAAUCUCUAGGAUGCGUGCCGGUCCUACAAUCUCCUACUCUCCUCUUGGAGUGGAUCACCUUUGCCACUUCCUUGAUCUAGAGACACUAUCGCAAUAGGGAAGACAAGGGAACCAACAUAUUCGGCUGGGAGGCUUUGAAGUUCCUUUUCACUGAGAGUCAGAAGAGGGUUGGCAUUUACUGCCUUGACUAGUUAACUAUGUAUGUAUGUAUUUAAUGAUUGCUUAUAUAGAUAAUUUAUAUAUUAGGAUGGGGCUGUUAGGUCGGUUGGGUCAGGGAGUUUCCUAAUCCAUCAUGGUCUAUAUAUCAAUUAGGGUUGGGUUAGAUAUUGGAAGAUCCAAGUCUGGCCUUAAAUAAAAGUGGCAUAUAGAUUUAUAACCAAGCAGACCAUAUUUUCAUUAAGGGGGCCGGAGGGGCUGAAUCAAGUCUUAACCGGUUUGGUUUAACAUCAGGUCUCAGGCAGGCCCAUUACAUCUGCAUCUCUCAUUAUUCCUAAAUUGUCUACUUCAGGAUGUUGGGAUAUCCAUAUGGAAUUGAAAUCUCCAUUCUGAAAUCUCAUUUGUUAAUUCCAAUUGGCUACCCCUUCUUAGAAUGGAUGCUUUACUAUUAGCUGUAAGGGGGGCGGACAUAUGACUUUAUGAUCUUCAGCAAUACAUUCAUAAGCACAUAUGUACAUGUACGCAUGCUUGGGUACAUGCAAUAUGUACAGAUAAUAGCAUCAGGCAUGGUAAAUGCACUUAAUAGGAAGCUAUCUUUAAUGGAUAGCUGUCAUUCCCUCUGAUUAAAGAUUUUCAUUUUCUGUUUAAGUAAUAAAUGCUAUUCCACUUGGUGCACAUGCUGAGAGAGAGAGACAGGGAAAGAGAGAAUUUACUGGUGUAUAUUUUCAAGGCAAUGGUAGGACCAAAGUGGAAUCUUGCAUGGGAGGUUGCAUU
This 1482-nucleotide long non-coding RNA is filed under the name Phoenix dactylifera (date palm). Its description in RNAcentral is "long non-coding RNA (PDAC_LNC004947)". The record is from RNAcentral. Lineage: Eukaryota; Viridiplantae; Streptophyta; Magnoliopsida; Arecales; Arecaceae.